Phalacrocorax carbo (great cormorant) is the source of this 7948-nucleotide non-coding RNA. The record is from RefSeq and is a predicted model, not a curated record. Lineage: Eukaryota; Metazoa; Chordata; Aves; Suliformes; Phalacrocoracidae.
CCGACCUGCCCGGCGUCCCUUCUGAGCAUGCGCGAAGCGGGUUGUUCGAAGGCGCGUCUGGGUCCGAGCCGGCGGGGAAGGGGCUGGGAGAUCGCGCAUGCGCCCUCGGCCCCCGAGCGCCUCAGCGAGGGCCGUCGAGGCUUAAAUACAAAGUAAAUAAGAAUGUCAAUAGUCACAGUCCAGCUUGGUCAGUGUGGUAAUCAGAUUGGUCAUGAAGUGUUUAACGUUAUCUGCGGAGACGUCCAUGGCACACAUGGGUUGUGUUCCAAGAAGGAGAAUGGAUCCUACCAUGAUGCUUGCAAAGAACGUUUUUUCAGUGAGGAGGAAUCUGAAGUUCCUGUUGCCCGGGCUGUGCUUGUUGACAUGGAACCGAAAGUAAUCAGCCAAACCUUAUCAAUAGCCGCCAGGUCUGGCUACUGGAAAUACGAUGAUCGGUCGCACUUCUGUCAGAAGCAAGGGUCUGGGAACAACUGGGCAAACGGUUAUUCUGUCCAUGGGCCUAGACACAAAGAAGUAAUAAUGGAUCUGGUGCAAAAAGAAGCAGAGAAAUGUGAUCGACUCAGUGGAUUUUUCACAAUAAUGAGCAUGGCUGGUGGUACAGGAUCCGGCUUGGGAGCGUUUGUAACCCAGUGUUUGAGAGAUGCUUUUCCAACCUCAUUUAUACUAAACCAUGUUAUCUGGCCCUACGGCACUGGUGAGGUCAUUGUUCAAAACUACAACUCUGUUUUGACUCUGUCACAUCUGUACCAGUCUUCAGAUGCCCUUCUUGUUCAUGAAAAUGAUGUCAUCCAUAAGAUCUGUGCUCAGCUCAUGAAUAUUAAACAGAUCUCCUUCAGGGAUGUAAAUCAAGUCAUCGCACACCAGCUGGGGAGUGUUUUCCAGCCCACUUACACAGCAGAAGGUGGCUUACACUAUAGCAGAAACCCAUUAGGAGACUUAAUGGAGACAUUAGUUCCACAUCCCGAAUUCAAGAUGUUGGGUCUUCGUAACAUACCUCAGAUGCCUGAAAACUCCCUCGCUUAUAGCACAUUUAGUUGGCCUGGGCUCAUCAAACAUUUAAGGCAGAUGCUCAUUGCUAAUGCUAAAAUGGAGGAAGGUAUUGAUUGGCAAGUACGACCACCGCGUCUAGGCUCCUCCAUCCCCUCCAGUCAGUCCACAAAUAAGCCGCUGCAUUUCAAUACUUCCGUUGCUAACCUGGUUAUCCUGCGAGGAAAAGAUACGCACAGCAUAGACUUGGGAAGUUUCCGAGAUCCCUCAUUAUAUACAUCGUGGCUAAACCCUCAGGAUGCUUUUAAUGCGUGGAAAACACCGAGAGCAUUUAACAAGUACGAAAAGUCUGCUUCUUUGGUCAGCAAUAGCCAAUUCCUGCUGAAACCUCUUGACAACAUUGUAGGAAAAGCUUGGAAUAUGUUUGCUUCCAAAGCCUAUAUUCACCAGUACACCAAAUUUGGGAUUGAAGAGGAAGAUUUCCUGGACAGCUUCACAGCUCUGGAACAAGUUAUCUCCAGUUACAGCAUCCUUUGAUUUUUUUUUUUGAAAUGGACUGAAAUAGAGCUUUCCUGAAAAAACCCAGCACUGGAAAACCUUCCAUCAUCUUCCUGAAGUACAUAAAUUACUGGACUGUAGCUCUUUUUCAGUCUUGCCAGGUACAGAAGCACUAAACACCCACCUCCGCGGAGCACCUGUUCUCAAACCAGCCCUGGCACACGACACCUGGAACAGCAAACUGACUUCUUGACAAGGCUCAAGCAACCACAUGAUCGAACCUGAAGAAAAUAAAGUAAGCACUGGGGCUAAGUUCACAAUUGCUCAAGCACGGCCACAGCAAUAGCCGAGCGCUGGCGUGGCUGUGUCGACACAAGCCACAAUGGAUUCUGAUAAAUUUCACAGUAGCUUAUGGACAAGCAUAUGGACAAGCAACUGCCCAUUAGUGGUAGGGCAACUGCCAGCACCGUUAGAGUUGAGUCCAGUCCUAGUUCAUGCAGGAAAAAUAACCUGUGUGAAUUACAAGCUAUAUGGGCGCUUCAAUUCAAUAGCUAUAUCGUUAAAUAUACAGGGGAAUGCGAGUCAGUCAUGGGGCGGGUGGGGAGAACACAAAAGAGAAGGCAAAGAGGAGAAAGCAGGUAGGGUAAAUAUAUCAAAUAACUUUUCAUAUAAAAAGAUACUUGGCAUUUAUGACAAAACAUUUUGACAAUAUUAUUCUUGCAGACCACAGUAUGUAAACCAACAGCUCAGUCUGGUUUGCUGUUUUCACUCAGCUGCUCUAAUUCCUGUUUUAGGAACUCCCUCUCAAAAGGGGAAGACAAAAUAAUCAUAGUUCAACUAUCCAGCCGUACUAAAAGCACUAUACUCCUCAGGAAAAUUUGAGUUGUUUGGAAGUUCAAAACUACAUAUAAUUUUGUUAUAAAAUAUUGUUUGUUGUAUUUAAUCCCUCCCCCCGCAAAUCACAUCGCGGCAGCUCAGAGCCGGGGAACUGCUCUGAUCAAGAGGGCUUUUCUAGCGUGGUGUUUGUGUCGGUUUCAACCAUUGUCUUUAACUUGGGUAUUUUCACAGAAGAAACUGGAGGAAAGAUUGCACAAGAAGUUAAGAUAAACAGCACAGGCAAUUCAAGUUCACACAGAACAAAGGGUCAGGAAAGGAGACAGUAUGGUGAGGUUCUCCCUCCUUCAAAAGGCACAGGAUGUUUAGCAACAUAGAAAUAGUUUUCCCUAGUGUUUUCAACAGAUAUCGGACUGAGAACGUCUUCCAGUAUCAGAAAUGGGAACAGGAAACUCCACGUCUGAAAGAAUUACCAAGUCCCAGGAAUGCAUACUCGUCCUCAUCGUUCCACCGGACAGGUCCUGUUUCUUUCAGAGACGGAAAAGAAAUGCUGAGCGCACAAACCAGCUUUUUUCAAGCCUUUUCAAGAGGUGGAAAGAGCUUAAGAAACAUGUGGUCUCUUAAAACUCACAUGGUUUCUACAUGUAAGUGUGAGCCUCAAAGUAUUUAUGUGGUUUAGUUAGCAGCAGCUUCUGCAAGAGAACUGCCAGUUUCUUUCCUGACAAUAUGGAAGGAAAAUAGAGGUGUACCACAAGGUCGUUGCGUGCAGCUAGAACAGGCUUUGGGAAACACACCUCAUCUCUCAAAGAAUUUCUUAUACUUUGUCAAACGGUCUGAAGCAGAGUUUAACCUCCCCAGGCACACUGGGCACAGGUGGUGCCUGUGCUCAAGCAGCUUAGAGCUCUGGCUGAUGUCUUUCACUGAAGCGAUGCCACCUCGCAGCGAAAAGGCUUUCGGCCUUUGAAAUGCCGUGCAGAUCAGCUGGUACCCAAGUAAGGCAAUAGGUGACUACCUCCAGAUUGAUGUCAUCAGUCAUAACUGUGGUCACAAUCUUGUGUAAAACCAGGCUAACAAACACUUCAGUGUAGGUUACAGAAUCUGCCUAGAUCCGAGAUAACCUUUGAGGCAAGUUCAGUACUCCAUAUAGCAAAAAGCAGCUAAAUGGCACACCACCAAGGCUGCAAGGAAACAAAAAGGCCCAACCACCUUCCUGAGGCAGAACCCUACCUGUGUGGCCUCCUCUAUCAUAUUAGCAUUAAAAAAAACCCAACCCAAACCCAAAAGCAGUGCAUUGUGCCUUAAAUCACAUGUACAUACAUGCCUUUCCCUCCCAGGACCCCCCAGGCAGGAAUAGUCCAGCAGUCCCCACCGAAAAGACACCAACUCCCAGUUUUUACAAGGACAGAAAAGCAGUUUCUGAGGCCAUGAGAAGGGUGGGGUUUGCAGGGCAGUUAUCAGAGCAGGGAACAACACACAGAGCUGGCAAGUCCUAUCUCUUGCCUUUCAUCAGGAAAUAGCAGCUAGUUUCCUUAUUACCAGCUGCCUGGGCAACUCAUUUAAGCUUCUUGGGAAACCAGAAGAACAAUUAAGCUGGGAGUAACUCCCUUGAAACACGGAAGAUGCAGCAGUUACUUAUCCAUAUCUGAACAGCUCGUCAAAUGAGGUUUAAAGAAAGAUGACCUUUGAUUUAAUGCUAAUGUAGUCAAUGCUCUUUGAAUCAUUCCAGGAGUGAAGAAUAAUAAUUAAAAAAAAAAACCAACCCUCUAGCACAAUAAAGGGUAAAGGCAAAGUAUAGCAAAGCUUGGCCCAUUCCAUGAGUGAAGCAACAGGUUCACAUUCGCAUGUUCAUUUUACCACAGCUGAACGUCAAUAGCACUGAACAGGCUGAACGACUCCACAGCUCAACAGCCUCUUCACUUUAAACUAAGUAAGGAGCAAUAGUCACCUUUUUUGACCAAAAUGCGAUUUUGCUGAAUUCCUGAUGCGUGCCAAGAAGCCCGUCACAGAUUGCUGGGCUCUCCCUGUUUGCUUUGACCUGCAAGGUGAUACAACAGACGUCUUGAGGACACGCGAAGGGUUUCUGCAUUUGAGCUCUUUUCACUCUUCAGACAACUGACCCUGGUUGUUACAGCCUCUCCCAUUCACGCCACUACCAACUGUGUUUCGCUGCCUUUUAUAAAAGCUGAGUGGAUGCAUCAAUAAGCAAAUGAAACUGAUAAAGAAAUAAAUGCUAGUAUUUCAUGGCCUCGGUUUGACACUUGAGUUAGGAAAGUCACAGCAGGCUCAAAGAGGUUUUCAGUAUUAUCCUUUUAAAAAUUAGUUUGUAAGAGCAUAUGCAAAUAUUUACCCUCAAUCUAGCUCUGAAUGCAUUAGCAGGGUGUUUCACAGGGAAGGUGAUUGCUUCACUCCCUGUUUCCUGAAGAGGUUACAGCAAAUCGACCAAGGUUCCAGCAAUUAAACCCUCACCUGGACCGGCCUGCUCUCAGCGAGGGGUGGCAGCCCAGCAGGAAGCCCUCCCCAGCUACUGCUCUCCCGCUUUCACACUCCUCAGUGCUGCAAUCUGGAGAAAGCUGGGCAAAGUACUUACUGUUUUUACUUCCCCGCAAAAAAAAAAAAACCAACAAAAAAAACCCCAAAAGCCAACCCAAACCCCAAAUUUACAGAAAAAAAACCUAGAAUUUUAAAUCUCAGAAGAACAAUUUCAAUUACCUUUCAGUGCUGAUUACAAAGUAUAUUUUAACCAUGUGCUUCAAAGAAAACUGCAUUACUUUUACCUCCGAGGAAGGAACGCACCCAAUCACCACUUCACUUUACACCUGCAAUCAAUUUUGUUCACUAAUAUUUGUAUUUGUGCUUGAUAAUCAGGGAAACAUCCACAGCAUUUGUGCUUGCAAUUAGCGCUGCCUGCAGUGAGAGGGAGGCUGAUUCUAACAAAUCAAAUAAUGAAACCCAAAAGCACAGCAGGGAAGGACUUUCUGGAACAGCAUUAAGCCAUCUUCAAGUAUUAAUGACAAAUGUCUUUUAGCAUGAACAGGCAGCUGGGUGAUUUCAGAGGGAGCUGCUUUAACAGGAAACACAGUGUGACACUGGGAAGGAGGUAAGAAACCACAAGUGGAGACAGGGAGCAGGAGGUUUCCUGACGGUUUUGAUGGAAUGGAGGGAAGCGUGGGCCUGGACGAUUUGAUCUGGCAUGGCCUGCGCCCGGCUCAGCCUGGCGCAGACCAGCAUGACCUUUUUAGCUUUGCUUACAUCAACUCAAUUCUUGCCCUGACGACGGGUACGUCAUGACUGCCACGCCAGGCCACGCCAGCACGCCUACACCUCCCGCAGCCUUCCCAGUGUGUUGUGGUGAGGCACAACUCACAGGUCAGGCAAUAAGCAGGCAGAGAAUUAGGAGGUGGCUCGGCAGCAGUCCUACCUGGCCUCGGCUCUGCUGUGCUUCUCAGAAUUGUUAGGCUGGCAAAUAGGGCCAACUUUCUGCUUUGCUCCCUGCUUACAGCUCACUUGUGACAGCAGAGGAGACUCAACCAACCUCUGUCGCCUCAAAGUCGGCUCUGAUGUCUAACCAAACAUCACUUGUUACAAGGGUUGUUACUUCCAUGUGAUUUUCAGUAAUCCCAAGGAAAAAAGCAAGAUGCUUUAUUCGGUGUCUAAGCUGCAAGAAGAAUCAGCUAAAAAUACAGUGAUCGUGCUAAGAUUGUUCCUCUCACCACAGAGCUCGCUUUGGAUUUUUCUCCAACAGCCUUUAAGCUAGGUGAUGGACUGCUUCCAGUGCAUGACUGAAAAUAUGUACACCAAAAGGACACUUUGGAUUAAGGGAGCAAAAUACAUGUUUUCAGAUGAAAUGCUAAAGGCUCUGGGUCUUUCUCUGAAGCCACAAAAUGCAACUGCAGAUGUAUCUUCUAGAUUCCCGCCCAUUGCGGAACGCUUGGGACAAUUUCACAGCAUAACAACAAGCUCAAUGUACAGAAAUGGAAACAAUCCAGCUGAAAUAAACACCGGGAAACAGAUAUUUGUUUGUUUAUUUAAGCAAACAUAGAACUAUCCAUUGCAAAUCUCAUUAGGUUUGCAUAACUUUCAUUUCUAUUAUUUGUUACCUUUUACCAAGUCUUAUUAUCUCCCAGCGGCCGAGCAGGCAGAAGCAAGUAGAAUGACCAGUCCCUUCUUUAAAUAAUGUUAGAAAGCUUCAAAAUAACAGCAGAGCUUAUUGGAAUGGACACAUACAAACAUGAGUUGCAGAACAACAGAUAUCUAUAUUUCUCACUAUAUGCAUGUACACACAGAUUGCAAUAAAAGUGGGGGAAAGCUUUCAAUUUGUCUUCCAGUAGGCAAGGAGGUGUAAUUACGAGGAGACUCCUAAAGCAUUUAGAAGGGUACAGUUUAUUGGCUCAAGCUCUAGGAAGGUGGUUUUUUUUUCUUUUUACUCGCUCUUACACAGUCUCCCCAUUUCAAUCUGACACCAUACAGGGGCCUCUACAUGGCAUAAAUUGAAUUCACUCUCACAAAGGGCCUUAAGACACUACCAGAACUGUGUGAAGCAAAUAGCAGCGUCGCGCAGGUGAAUGGCAGGUACUAAAACUGGGGAAAGUAGCAAACCCUUGUUUACCUAGUACAAGUAUCCUGAAGAAAACCGAAACAAGCAGCUGUGAACUGCUGACCUGAUCUUACAAAGUGCAGAACUAACGUUCUGGCAGACUGAAAGCGAAGUACCAGAUAGAGCUACGCUUUUUUGCAUGCGCACUGUAUGAGAACAAGCUCUUUGCUACGCAAUUUUCAAAGACAAUCUUUAGGCCUGAAAGUGACAAAGCUGCCAGGGCCAAGAUUUAAGAAAUACUGUUCAUCUUUUACAAAUCCAUAGGGGCAAAUGAAUGGCCUUUGUGCUUUUAACCAUCUUGCAGUACCUCCUGGCACUCAGACUUUUAGAUAUUUAAAUUUAAUCUACUCAGCAGCCCUAUUGAGAGAAGUCCCUAUGAAAAGCCUCCCCACUCAUUCAGUAACACUGUUUGAAGUCCUAGAGGAAGCACAGGAGAGAAACAUUACAAACCUCACGCACAGCUGAGAUGAAACUUUAAAAGAUGUUUCUUGUGUAGACCGCUGCACUGCCCGCCUUCUGAACUCAUUUCCAUCUAAACCUAAAAACAUUUACAUGCUAUUGAUGUUCAAUGAAAACAGUUGGAGAUGGAUGAGCGAACGGUCAGAUGAGAGAUACCAAAAUGUCAGACAGCCUACCGACUGUUGUUGCCAUGAGAUCCAACAGUCAACAUCAGUCUGAUAAGCUAUCCGACAGGAUGGUACAGCCAUGGAGAUGUCACGACGGUUGGCAACACAAGAGGACAUUCAGGCAGGAUUGAACAAAAUAGGUAUUUUCACACCUUGCUCGAGACCUGCCCUAACCUAAUGCAGGGAUAACUCACCAAAACGAGAGCAAGAUCUAACCUACUUUGUGCUCAUAUGUCACCUUUUGAUAACACUAAUUCAAAGUCAAAUUAGUUCUUGUUACUUACCCCUAGGACAAAAAUAAAAAACCGUAGUUCAGAGAUUAUUAGAGUAGCAACACAUACACAGUAGCAGUGGAAUGGAUGCCUACUUACUCAAGAGGGAAAAAGAUCCAUGUUAAUGUUGGUUAUGU